Molecule: ribosomal RNA, 468 nt
Filed under: uncultured bacterium
Lineage: Bacteria
Description: partial 16S ribosomal RNA
Rfam family: Bacterial small subunit ribosomal RNA
Source: RNAcentral
GACGAACGCUGGCGGCGUGCUUAACACAUGCAAGUCGAACGGAAAGGCCCUGCUUUUGUGGGGUGCUCGAGUGGCGAACGGGUGAGUAACACGUGAGUAACCUGCCCUUGACUUUGGGAUAACUUCAGGAAACUGGGGCUAAUACCGGAUAGGAGCUCCUGCUGCAUGGUGGGGGUUGGAAAGUUUCGGCGGUUGGGGAUGGACUCGCGGCUUAUCAGCUUGUUGGUGGGGUAGUGGCUUACCAAGGCUUUGACGGGUAGCCGGCCUGAGAGGGUGACCGGCCACAUUGGGACUGAGAUACGGCCCAGACUCCUACGGGAGGCAGCAGUGGGGAAUAUUGCACCAUGGGCGGAAGCCUGAUGCAGACACGCCGCGUGCGGGAUGACGGCCUUCGGGUUGUAAACCGCUUUCGCCUGUGACGAAGCGUGAGUGACGGUAAUGGGUAAAGAAGCACCGGCUAACUACGUG